Molecule: transfer RNA, 77 nt
Filed under: Erythrobacter sp.
Lineage: Bacteria; Pseudomonadati; Pseudomonadota; Alphaproteobacteria; Sphingomonadales; Erythrobacteraceae
Also listed under: 174 other names
Description: tRNA-Met
Rfam family: tRNA
About the family: Transfer RNA (tRNA) molecules are approximately 80 nucleotides in length. Their secondary structure includes four short double-helical elements and three loops (D, anti-codon, and T loops). Further hydrogen bonds mediate the characteristic L-shaped molecular structure. tRNAs have two regions of fundamental functional importance: the anti-codon, which is responsible for specific mRNA codon recognition, and the 3' end, to which the tRNAs corresponding amino acid is attached (by aminoacyl-tRNA synthetases). tRNAs cope with the degeneracy of the genetic code in two manners: having more than one tRNA (with a specific anti-codon) for a particular amino acid; and 'wobble' base-pairing, i.e. permitting non-standard base-pairing at the 3rd anti-codon position.
Source: RNAcentral
GGCGGAGUAGCUCAGGUGGUUAGAGCAGCGGAAUCAUAAUCCGCGUGUCGGGGGUUCAAGUCCCUCCUCCGCUACCA